GCGGGUGUGGUGAAAUUGGUAGACACGCCAGACUUAGGAUCUGGUGUCGUGAGACAUGGGGGUUCGAGUCCCUCCACCCGCA
RNAcentral lists this transfer RNA (82 nucleotides) under Chitinophagaceae bacterium. RNAcentral describes it as "tRNA-Leu". It matches the Rfam family "tRNA". Rfam says of the family: Transfer RNA (tRNA) molecules are approximately 80 nucleotides in length. Their secondary structure includes four short double-helical elements and three loops (D, anti-codon, and T loops). Lineage: Bacteria; Pseudomonadati; Bacteroidota; Chitinophagia; Chitinophagales; Chitinophagaceae. The record is from RNAcentral. RNAcentral also lists the same sequence under 1 other name.